Oryza glumipatula is the source of this 207-nucleotide non-coding RNA. The record is from Rfam. Lineage: Eukaryota; Viridiplantae; Streptophyta; Magnoliopsida; Poales; Poaceae.
AAAAAAACAAACCCUGAGUUUUCGUGUCCAACGUUUGACUAUCCGUCUUAUAUGAUUUUUUUUUAUAAUUAGUAUUUUUAUUGUUGUUAGAUGAUAAAACAUGAUUAAUACUUUAUACGUGACUUGUCUUUUUAACUUUUUUUCAUAAUUUUUUUAAAUAAGACGGACGGUCAAACAUUGGACAGGAAACCUAGGGUUUGUCUUUUU